RNAcentral lists this long non-coding RNA (208 nucleotides) under Elaeis guineensis (African oil palm). RNAcentral describes it as "long non-coding RNA (EGUI_LNC020395)". The record is from RNAcentral. Lineage: Eukaryota; Viridiplantae; Streptophyta; Magnoliopsida; Arecales; Arecaceae.
CGUGGGUUCGGAUUUUCCACAGCCGCACGACACCAGGCCACCAGUCCUCUGUUGCAUGAUCAAAGCCUUAUAAAGGCUUAAAAACCACUUAGAAAAUGAUUAGGACUCCUAAUCAGGUCCAAACAAAGCGCAUGGACUGUCGGAUCAACACCGGGAGCUGCCCACAUCAUUAGAUUGCGCACCGGUCCACGGAACAGUCCGUGGACCG